GACGAACGCUGGCGGCGUGCCUAAUACAUGCAAGUAGAACGCACAGUUUAUACCGUAGCUUGCUACACCAUAGCCUGUGAGUUGCGAACGGGUGAGUAACGCGUAGGUAACCUGCCUGGUAGCGGGUGAUAACUAUUGGAAACGAUAGCUAAUACCGCAUAAUAUUAAUUAUUGCAUGAUAAUUAAUUGAAAGGUGCAAUUGCACCACUACCAGAUGGACCUGCGUUGUAUUAGCUAGUAGGUGAGGUAACGGCCCACCUAGGCGACGAUACAUAGCCGACCUGGGAGGGGGGUCGGCCACACUGGGACGGAGACAAGGCCCAGACUCCCUCGGGAGGGAGCAGUAGGGAAUCUUCGGCAAUGGACGGAAGGCUGAACGGGCAACGCCGCGUGAGGGAAGGAGGGUUUCGGAUCGUAAGGCUCUGUUGUAAGAGAAGAACGGGAGGGAGAGUGGAAAGUUCACACUGUGACGGUAUCUUACCAGAAAGGGACGGCUAACUACGUG
This 505-nucleotide ribosomal RNA is filed under the name uncultured bacterium. RNAcentral's name for it is "partial 16S ribosomal RNA". It matches the Rfam family "Bacterial small subunit ribosomal RNA", at positions 28 to 507 of the family's 1533-position model. The record is from RNAcentral.